UACGUAGGGUGCGAGCGUUGUCCGGAAUUACUGGGCGUAAAGAGCUCGUAGGUGGUUUGUCGCGUUGUCCGUGAAAACUCACAACUCAAUUGUGGGCGUGCGGGCGAUACGGGCAGACUGGAGUACUGCAGGGGAGACUGGAAUUCCUGGUGUAGCGGUGGAAUGCGCAGAUAUCAGGAGGAACACCGGUGGCGAAGGCGGGUCUCUGAGCAGUAACUGACGCUGAGGAGCGAAAGCGUGGGGAGCGAACAGG
RNAcentral lists this ribosomal RNA (253 nucleotides) under uncultured bacterium. Its description in RNAcentral is "partial 16S ribosomal RNA". It matches the Rfam family "Bacterial small subunit ribosomal RNA", at positions 524 to 776 of the family's 1533-position model. The record is from RNAcentral.